Labrus mixtus (cuckoo wrasse) is the source of this 1277-nucleotide long non-coding RNA. RefSeq lists it as uncharacterized. The transcript is spliced from 2 exons. Lineage: Eukaryota; Metazoa; Chordata; Actinopteri; Labriformes; Labridae. The record is from RefSeq and is a predicted model, not a curated record.
GAUCUGUAGGAGGCAAAAGUACGGGGAAUAUUGGAAAUUUGGAAAAUAGCGCCGGUGACAUCAACAGCGCCUUUCUGAAAAGUUGAAAGGUUUUGAGUGAAAAAAAGUGUCGCGCAAACAGAAAACCCUAACCCUACCCUUUAGAGGAUGCAGGCUCUACUUUUUUUGUAGUUGCAGAGAUCAGGCUGAUGCUUCCAGGACAUCGGGUUUUAUUUUUGAUGAUAAUGUCAUUUUUUUAAUUUUGACUUUUAAUGCGGUGUAAAACAUUCAGACAGCAGAGGGCGCCAUUGACCAGCUGCAGCAGAUAGUUAAAAGUAACUUGCAUGACCUUUGGGUCUUUCAGAUUUUAAGGGUUAUUUUAAAGAUUCUGCAGGAAGUAAAAAAAAAAGAAUAAUGCUAAGGUUGGACCUCAAACUGAUGCGACUCGUAUCAUGUCAGAGGAUCCAUUUUGAUAUUGGUAUAAUGAAUAACUGGAUUUUUUUUUAGUCAAAUAAUUUUAUAAUCAUGUUGUUCCCAACGUGUCUUAUUUUGUCUUUCUUGGCAGGAAUGGGCUUCCGUAUGUCUCGGCUCCGUCUGAAGGUUUUUUUCCUCAAAGUCUGUCACGUAACGCUCGGUGUAUUCAGGUAGUGUGUAGAUGAAGCUCAGCACAUUUAACACAUUUUAGAGAAGCACGCAGUGGAGCUUUUUUCUAUGAUGGGGGGGGGGGGUCACUAUUUUUAAACCGACUGUCUGUUAGAGGGAAGUUUCUGCUCCGCAUGCUUUUUACCAAACAGCAGAAGAGUCGCUUAAAGCAAUAGAGCACAUGGAACGACUUGUUUUAUUGAUGAUGCCACUUUGUGUGUGCGCGCCCGUGUGUGUGUGUGUGUUUGUAGUUUCAAUCUGCAGGUGAGGAUGUGAGCAUGCUCAGUAGACACGAUGCAAUGAUGUGUAUGUUGUUUUCUACACGUGAGGCUCAGACGUGUGUGUGUGACCGCUCUGAUCAAGGUCAUCCUGCAGCGUGUGUGAGAGUCAGACGUGUGUGCGCGCUCUGCUCGGGGCCAUCCUGCAGCGUGUGUGUGUGUCAGACGUGUGUGCGCGCUCUGCUGCUUGGGGUCAUCCUGCAGCAUGUGUGUGUGCGCGCUCUGCUCGGGGUCAUCCUGCAGCGUGUGUGUGAGUCAGACGUGGGGGAGCGGGGUGUUUGGGAAGGUGGGUGUACAUUAUUUAAACCACUGUUCUCCUUGUAGUGUGAGGCUGAUGUAUGUUUUCUGCUAUUUGACAAUGAAUUACUCUGCACUUAA